RNAcentral lists this transfer RNA (70 nucleotides) under Marmota marmota marmota (Alpine marmot). It matches the Rfam family "tRNA". From Rfam's summary of the family: Transfer RNA (tRNA) molecules are approximately 80 nucleotides in length. The record is from Rfam by way of RNAcentral. RNAcentral also lists the same sequence under 1 other name. Lineage: Eukaryota; Metazoa; Chordata; Mammalia; Rodentia; Sciuridae.
GGUGUUGUGGCUCAAGUGGUAGAGUGCUCAUCUUGCACAUGCGAGGCAUGGGGUUCAAUCCUCAGCACCA